GGGUUGUGAGGUUAAGCGACUAAGCGUACACGGUGGAUGCCUAGGCAAUCAGAGGCGAUGAAGGACGUGCUAAUCUGCGAAAAGCGUCGGUAAGGUGAUAUGAACCGUUAUAACCGACGAUGUCCGAAUGGGGAAACCCAGUGCAAUUCGUUGCACUAUCGUUUGAUGAAUCCAUAGUCAAACGAGGCGAACCGGGGGAACUGAAACAUCUCAGUACCCCGAGGAAAAGAAAUCAACCGAGAUUCCCCUAGUAGCGGCGAGCGAACGGGGAGCAGCCCAGAGUCUUAAUCAGCAUCAGCAUCAGGAGAACGGUCUGGAAAGGCCGGCAAUAAAGGGUGAUAGCCCCGUAUCCGAAGGUGUUGGUGUUGUGAACUCGACGAGUAGGGCGGGACACGUGUUAUCCUGUCUGAAUAUGGGGGACCAUCCUCCAAGGCUAAAUACUCCUGAUUGACCGAUAGUGAACCAGUACCGUGAGGGAAAGGCGAAAAGAACCCCGGCGAGGGGAGUGAAAUAGAACCUGAAACCGUGUACGUACAAGCAGUGGGAGCCUUGAUUUAUCAGGGUGACUGCGUACCUUUUGUAUAAUGGGUCAGCGACUUAUAUUCUGUAGCAAGGUUAACCGAAUAGGGGAGCCGUAGGGAAACCGAGUCUUAACUGGGCGAAUGAGUUGCAGGGUAUAGACCCGAAACCCGGUGAUCUAGCCAUGGGCAGGUUGAAGGUUGGGUAACACUAACUGGAGGACCGAACCGACUAAUGUUGAAAAAUUAGCGGAUGACUUGUGGCUGGGGUGAAAGGCCAAUCAAACCGGGAGAUAGCUGGUUCUCCCCGAAAGCUAUUUAGGUAGCGCCUCGUGAACUCAUCUUCGGGGGUAGAGCACUGUUUCGGCUAGGGGGUCAUCCCGACUUACCAACCCGAUGCAAACUACGAAUACCGAAGAAUGUUAUCACGGGAGACACACGGCGGGUGCUAACGUUCGUCGUGAAGAGGGAAACAACCCAGACCGCCAGCUAAGGUCCCAAAGUCAUGGUUAAGUGGGAAACGAAGUGGGAAGGCUCAGACAGCCAGGAUGUUGGCUUAGAAGCAGCCAUCAUUUAAAGAAAGCGUAAUAGCUCACUGGUCGAGUCGGCCUGCGCGGAAGAUGUAACGGGGCUAAACCAUGCACCGAAGCUGCGGCAGCGACAUGUAAAUGUUGUUGGGUAGGGGAGCGUUCUGUAAGCCUGUGAAGGUGUGCUGCGAGGCAUGCUGGAGGUAUCAGAAGUGCGAAUGCUGACAUAAGUAACGAUAAUGCGGGUGAAAAACCCGCACGCCGGAAGACCAAGGGUUCCUGUCCAACGUUAAUCGGGGCAGGGUGAGUCGACCCCUAAGGCGAGGCAGAAAUGCGUAGUCGAUGGGAAACAGGUUAAUAUUCCUGUACUGGUGAUAAUUGCGAUGGGGGGACGGAGAAGGCUAGGCUGGCCGGGCGACGGUUGUCCCGGUUUAAGGAUGUAGGUGGGCGAAUUAGGCAAAUCCGGUUCGCUAUACACUGAGGUCUGAUGACGAGUCACUACGGUGGCGAAGUAGCUCAUGCCCCGCUUCCAGGAAAAGCCUCUAAGCUCUAGAUUAUCAUUAAUCGUACCCCAAACCGACACAGGUGGUCAGGUAGAGAAUACUCAGGCGCUUGAGAGAACUCGGGUGAAGGAACUAGGCAAAAUGGUGCCGUAACUUCGGGAGAAGGCACGCUGGCACUAGGUGAAGUCCCUUGCGGAUGGAGCUGAAGCCAGUCGCAGAUACCAGCUGGCUGCAACUGUUUAUUAAAAACACAGCACUGUGCAAACACGAAAGUGGACGUAUACGGUGUGACGCCUGCCCGGUGCUGGAAGGUUAAUUGAUGGGGUUAUCCGUAAGGAGAAGCUCUUGAUCGAAGCCCCAGUAAACGGCGGCCGUAACUAUAACGGUCCUAAGGUAGCGAAAUUCCUUGUCGGGUAAGUUCCGACCUGCACGAAUGGCGUAAUGAUGGCCAGGCUGUCUCCACCCGAGACUCAGUGAAAUUGAACUCGCUGUGAAGAUGCAGUGUACCCGCGGCAAGACGGAAAGACCCCGUGAACCUUUACUAUAGCUUGACACUGAACAUUGAGCCUUGAUGUGUAGGAUAGGUGGGAGGCUUUGAAGUGUGGACGCCAGUCUGCAUGGAGCCAACCUUGAAAUACCACCCUUUAAUGUUUGAUGUUCUAACGUUGCCCCGUGAUCCGGGGUGCGGACAGUGUCUGGUGGGUAGUUUGACUGGGGCGGUCUCCUCCCAAAGCGUAACGGAGGAGCACGAAGGUUGGCUAAGCAUGGUCGGACAUCAUGCGGUUAGUGCAAAGGCAUAAGCCAGCUUGACUGCGAGAGUGACGGCUCGAGCAGGUACGAAAGUAGGUCUUAGUGAUCCGGUGGUUCUGAAUGGAAGGGCCAUCGCUCAACGGAUAAAAGGUACUCCGGGGAUAACAGGCUGAUACCGCCCAAGAGUUCAUAUCGACGGCGGUGUUUGGCACCUCGAUGUCGGCUCAUCACAUCCUGGGGCUGAAGUAGGUCCCAAGGGUAUGGCUGUUCGCCAUUUAAAGUGGUACGCGAGCUGGGUUUAGAACGUCGUGAGACAGUUCGGUCCCUAUCUGCCGUGGGCGUUGGAAGAUUGAAAGGGGCUGCUCCUAGUACGAGAGGACCGGAGUGGACGCACCGCUGGUGUUCGGGUUGUCAUGCCAAUGGCACUGCCCGGUAGCUAAGUGCGGAAGAGAUAACCGCUGAAAGCAUCUAAGCGGGAAACUUGCCUUGAGAUGAGUCUUCCCUGACUCUUUAAGGGUCCUAAAGGAACGUUUAAGACGAAGACGUUGAUAGGCUGGGUGUGUAAGCGUAGCGAUACGUUGAGCUAACCAGUACUAAUGAACCGUGAGGCUUAACCUGACAACACCGAAGGUGUUUUAG
This 2937-nucleotide ribosomal RNA is filed under the name Providencia stuartii. RNAcentral describes it as "bacterial LSU rRNA". It matches the Rfam family "Bacterial large subunit ribosomal RNA". The record is from RNAcentral. Lineage: Bacteria; Pseudomonadati; Pseudomonadota; Gammaproteobacteria; Enterobacterales; Morganellaceae.